This 723-nucleotide ribosomal RNA is filed under the name uncultured Fusobacterium sp. RNAcentral's name for it is "bacterial SSU rRNA". It matches the Rfam family "Bacterial small subunit ribosomal RNA", at positions 28 to 776 of the family's 1533-position model. Lineage: Bacteria; Fusobacteriati; Fusobacteriota; Fusobacteriia; Fusobacteriales; Fusobacteriaceae. The record is from RNAcentral.
GAUGAACGCUGACAGAAUGCUUAACACGUGCAAGUCGACUCGAGUCUUCGGACUUGGGUGGCGCACGGGUGAGUAACGCGUAAAGAACUUGCCUCUUAGACCGGGACAACAUCUGGAAACGGAUGCUAAUACCGGAUAUUAUGGUUUUUUCGCAUGGAGGAAUCAUGAAGCUAGAUGCGCUAAGAGAGAGCUUUGCGUCCCAUUAGCUGGUUGGUGAGGUAACGGCCCACCAAGGCAAUGAUGGGUAGCCGGCCUGAGAGGGUGAACGGCCACAAGGGGACUGAGACACGGCCCUUACUCCUACGGGAGGCAGCAGUGGGGAAUAUUGGACAAUGGACCACAAGUCUGAUCCAGCAAUUCUGUGUGCACGAUGACGUUUUUCGGAAUGUAAAGUGCCUUCAGUCGGGAAGAAGUCAGUGACGGUACCGACAGAAGAAGCGACGGCUAAAUACGUGCCAGCAGCCGCGGUAAUACGUAUGUCGCAAGCGUUAUCCGGAUUUAUUGGGCGUAAAGCGCGUCUAGGCGGCAAGGAAAGUCUGAUGUGAAAAUGCGGAGCUCAACUCCGUAUGGCGUUGGAAACUGCCUUACUAGAGUACUGGAGAGGUAGGCGGAACUACAAGUGUAGAGGUGAAAUUCGUAGAUAUUUGUAGGAAUGCCGAUGGGGAAGCCAGCCUACUGGACAGAUACUGACGCUAAAGCGCGAAAGCGUGGGUAGCAAACAGG